GGGGGCCCGCAAGCGGUGGAGCAUGUGGUUCAAUUCGACGCAACGCGAAGAACCUUACCUGGGCUCGAAGCGCAGUGGAAUCCGGUGGAAACAUCGGCGCCCCUUAAAAGGCCGCUGCGGAGGUGCUGCAUGGCUGUCGUCAGCUCGUGUCGUGAGAUGUUGGGUUAAGUCCCGCAACGAGCGCAACCCUUAUCCCUAGUUGCCAUCGGGUCAAGCCGGGCACUCUAGUGAAACUGCCUCGGAUAACGAGGAGGAAGGUGGGGAUGACGUCAAGUCCUCAUGGCCUUUAUGUCCAGGGCUACACACGUGCUACAAUGGUCGGUACAAACCGUCGCAAACCCGUGAGGGGGAGCUAACCGGAAAAAGCCGGCCUCAGUUCGGAUUGGAGUCUGCAACUCGACUCCAUGAAGCUGGAAUCGCUAGUAAUCGCGGAUCAGAACGCCGCGGUGAAUACGUUCCCGGGCCUUGUACACACC
Molecule: ribosomal RNA, 476 nt
Filed under: uncultured bacterium
Lineage: Bacteria
Description: bacterial SSU rRNA
Rfam family: Bacterial small subunit ribosomal RNA
Source: RNAcentral